Mugil cephalus (flathead mullet) is the source of this 610-nucleotide long non-coding RNA. RefSeq lists it as uncharacterized. The transcript has 4 exons. The record is from RefSeq and is a predicted model, not a curated record. Lineage: Eukaryota; Metazoa; Chordata; Actinopteri; Mugiliformes; Mugilidae.
GCCGAGAGCUGCAGCUCCAAAGGAACGGAGCGAGCCUUGACAGGAGGGCAGGAAAUAAACUGAAAGAAAAUCACUGCAAGCUCAAACGCCCUCAGUGUGGUCGAGAAUGAGCUCAGUAAUUUAAACAUGCGGCUGCUUCGCAAGCCUCACAGCCUGCGCCACCCAGACGACGAGCACCUGAAGGAAGGAGCUAUUUAAGCACCCGUUAUCCCUCUCUCGCUGAGACCCUGCCGCUGUCUCAUUCCUCUCCCCGAGCGCACGGACGGACUGGAAACAGAGGACGAAAAGCUUGAUCUUCAAGUGUCUCAUCUACUGAGUGCUGUCCUCUUACAAAAAUGAAAUUAAAGGGCGGCAUAUUGAAUCGCAGAGUGUGCCCUGGCCACUGGUCGAGGCGGAGAGCUGGCCGAGCCGAGGGCUUGGCAAACACUGUCUGUUUUCAUUGUGAAGACAUCCGGAAACGUGGUGUAAAGAAAGAGCUAUAGAUCUAUGAAUAGGUGUAGCACAUCUACAUCUCUCCUUGGAUCGCCACCGGUCAGUGUUGCCAGAUAUAUGCUAAUUGUCCUAAUUAUACCAUAGUUUCAGGAUAGGAAGCUAUUGUAAAUAUGCAAUA